Molecule: unclassified non-coding RNA, 1531 nt
Filed under: Hevea brasiliensis (rubber tree)
Lineage: Eukaryota; Viridiplantae; Streptophyta; Magnoliopsida; Malpighiales; Euphorbiaceae
Source: RNAcentral
UCAAUGGCCGAUGGCUCCUGUUGAAGGAUGCCCAACUGUGUUUCAGACUGUUUGCAGUGUUCCACCUGGUUAUCACCAGUACAAGUUCAUUGUUGAUGGUGAAUGGCGACACGAUGAGAACCAACCUUUUGUGAGUGGUGGAAACCUUGGAACAGUCAAUACUGUCCUCUUGGCCAGAGAGUCUGACUACCUUCCAGCAGUACUAAGUGCACAAAUACCUCCUAGCUCUAACAUGGAUGUGGAUAAUCAGGCCUUUCAGCGUUUGGUAAGAGUGUCGGAUGUUGCCUUGCCAGAUGAUACUCCCAGGAUAUCACAGACAGAUUUGGAUAUUUCCCGUCACCGUAUAUCUGCAGUCCUAUCAACACAUUCAGCUUAUGAGUUGCUUCCAGGGUCGAGCAAGGUCAUUGCUUUGGAUGUUGACUUACCCGUAAAGCAAGCAUUUCAUAUUCUUCAUGAGCAGGGUAUUCCUAUGGCUCCUUUAUGGGAUUUCAGCAGGGCACAAUUUGUUGGAGUCCUCAGUGCUUUGGAUUUUAUUUUAAUCAUGAGAGAGCUUGGGAAUCAUGGUUCCAAUCUGACAGAGGAAGAGCUUGAGACACAUACUAUAUCUGCAUGGAAAGAGGCAAAAUCUUACUUGAGCAGACAAGCCAAUGAGCUUGGUAAAUCAGCUCCACGGCGACUUGUUUGGUCAGGGCCAGAUAACAGCUUGAAGGAUGUGGCAUUGGAAAUUUUGCAAAAUGGGGUGGCUACAGUACCUAUAAUUCAUUCACCAGCUCAGGAUGGAUCAUAUCCCCAGCUAUUAUAUGUUGCUUCUCUUUCUGAUAUACUAAAACAUAUUUGUAGGUAUUUCAAGCAUUCUCCAGAGUCGUUACCAAUACUUCAGUUGCCAAUUGGUGCAAUUCCUUUGGGCACAUGGGUUCCGAAAAUUGGAGAGCCAAAUCGACAACCCCUGGCAAUGCUGAGGCCUACUGCUUCUCUGAAUGCAGCAUUGAAUUUGUUAGUGCAAGCUCAAGUUAGUGCAAUUCCCAUUGUUGACGAUAACGACUCCCUGUUGGAUAUAUACUCCCGAAGUGAUAUUACAGCUUUGGCCAAGGACAAGAUCUACACACACAUCAAUCUUGAGGAAAUGAGUAUUCAUCAGGCACUGCAACUUGCAGAAGAACCAUAUGCAACUUAUGGGUUGAGCAGUCAAAAAUGUCACAUGUGUUUACAGUCUGAUUCGUUGCAUGAAGUGAUGGAAAGAUUGUCCAGACCUGGGGUUAGGCGGCUUGUUGUUGUGGAAGCGGGAAGCAAACGCGUAGAAGGUAUCAUAUCAGUGGGUGACAUUUUCAAGUUCUUGCUUGGGUAGAUGAAUCAAAGAGGAGUUGACAAUAGACGUGAUUUUGAUGGUGGUUGCUUAAAUCUGUGUUGCUCAUAGCUCAUGGUGCACCCCCCAUUAUUCAUGGGGAUUCGAAACCCGAUUCUUUCGUGUAUACAAUUGAUUGGCCCCCAAGCAUAAUGGCCUGGUCUUUUAGGAUGUUAGGCUCUAAAGAAU